GAUUCUCUACUCAUCGAAGGGAUGUGAACUGAAGUUCCCUACGUAUACAACUGUUUGAGACAGCCCCACCCCCUCAGAACACCCCUCAGUCCUCUUCGUCUCCAACCUCAAGCCCUAGAGAACCCGCCGCCCUGAAAUUAUUAAGCCAUCUCCAGUGGUGGCGUGGCCUAAUCAACCCCAAAUUCCCCGUCCACAAUUCCAACACCCCAUGAAAUAUGAAUCCAUCACCACAUAUCCUCAAAUCCCUACCAAAUUUGGCCAAUUUUAGAUCUAAAAAAAGAAGAAAAAAAAGGAGAAAUUUUCCAAAUCUUCAAGUUUAUAUGAACGAUUGGGCCUGAAACUAGUAUUGUUAGUUUGUUCUCAAAGAGAACAUGCGGUUAGUACCAAUUUUGGGUCAAAUCGGAGGUUCCUGAGGUCUGUCAAGCCAAACGUCCGUUUACUUAUUUUAGGUAACUUUAUUCACUUCUUUUCUUGUCUUUGUUUUCUUCUCUUCUUUGUUCUCAUUAUUUUUUCUCUUUUUUGACUGAUUAAAAGAACUCAGAUACGGUAAUUUGUUGUUAAUUCUUGACAAUUUAGUCAAGUGAAUUGUAAUUAAUUUUGCUUUUUCCUUUCUUUUUCUGUUUGUCUUUAUUUUUCUAGAUUUUCGAGUUAGUAUUCAAGUUUUUUUCCACUAUUAGGUCUUAGUUUUGUAUGGGUUAGAAUUUGAAAUUCAAAUGUUCAAUUGUAUUGGGUUUGGUAACUUUGUUUGAUUGGGUUUUUUUGGGUCAUCUCUGGCCUAGUUUCAAGGGAAACCCGAUUGGUUUUUGGUUGUUUUUGGAUUAAUUUGACCCAUGUGUAAUAUACUCAAGGUAAAUAUAGCUGUUUUAAGGGUAGUUUAGGGAAAUAGGGCAGGGAAAUCUUUUAUAACUGCAUAAGGAAGCUUCUAGGAAAGUAGGGGAAGGGGUUGUUUAAUAUGCAGACUAUAAAAUGAAGGUCUAAGUUGAAAAGAUGAAAAUUGGGGAGGGUUAAUUGAUAAAUGUUAGAGUCAUUUUUUUUUCUAACCUAAUGCCCUCUAUAUAAGGUUGGUUUUCUUUAAAAUUGAGGAAGAGGAGAAAACUAAGAAAUCAGAAAACGGUUGAGAAAUUUAUUCUGAAAAUACAUUAAAUUUUUUGCAUCUUUUAGGGUGGAAAUUGGUUCUGAAUCUGCUCCCUAGUCUUGAGUGUCAACUGGAAUUAAAAAAGCUUGAAAGAACUCUUGUUUUAUCUCAGGAAAAAAUGCUUAAAGAGCUGAAAUUUCUGGAUUUUUGCAAGCUCUUUGAUUUGGUUUUACUGCCGAUCUCUGCUGCUAUACAUGUUAGCUUAAUGUUGCUUUAAGUUGAUUCUCAAAGCUUUUUGUUUAUCUUUGCUGUAACAUGUAUGUGCCGAUGAAUAUUUUAUUGUUACACAUGAAGCUUGGAUCACCUGUUGAUAUCAUGCCCAAACAUCAUGUGAAAUGUAGACUGAAAUAAGAUUCUGAUGUUUCUUUGGAUUUGUUAUGCUGCUUUUCUUUCUUCUUAUUAUAUUCUUCUUAACAUGUUAUACAUUAGCUCAAAUAUAUACACUAGUUGUCUUAUUUGGCAUGUUGGCUGUAUUCUGUGAAAUUUUAUCUGAAGUUCAGCUCCAUUGAAUAAGUUCCUUUCAAGCAUGAACUGAAGUCUAGUAGGCUGGAUAAUCCAUUUGUGUAUGUGGAAUUCGAUCAUGGGAUCUGAUUGGAAGUUCGGUAUAUUUUGAUGUUUUGAUCGCAUGAAGCUAUAAUUUGCUUGUCUAAUUUAGCUAUGAUGGUAUUGAAUCAUUAGUAUUCUAGAAGUAAUAAUUCAAGUUCAUUUCCUAGCUAUUUGAUUAGAGUAUGUUGAUGUAUGAACGGAUAUGCUAUAAAAAUAGUUAGGUUUUGUUGCUUUAACACAAAUCUGCACGAAUCAUGUAUUGAUUGAGGGUUUAUCUUCCCAAAAUUUUCACAGAUUAGAGUCAUGAUUUAGGUAAUUAUGUUCCAAUGUGAUAAACUGGUUUCUUUGGUUCCAUUCUAAAUGUUGUUUUGUUUUUGUAAUUAGUAUUGAUUUGGGCAUAUAAGGUGAUUCGGGCCAGGCUCAUGAAUGACCCAAAUAAGUUUAUGAAUAUGAAUUGAUCCCAAGAAUCUGAUUCUAAUAAGGUGUGUGGAUUUAAGUUGGUUCUUAUGUGAGCAAAAUGUAAUCGGCUUAUCAGAAAGUUUGGGUUCAUACUGAUUGGGCAUCUGCAAAAUUUACUUGAUUGAGGAUGUUUGAAUCACAAUCGCAAUUGGCUAUAAAUGUACAUUAAUUUUAUUGCAUGUCAGGGCUUUAAUAUUUCAGUGAUUCAAUUAGCUUAUCAGUUAACGAUUCAACAAAGAUUGUCACGCACAUGUUUAGUAAAAAUAAAAGGGAGAUUCAUCCUUGAAGAAUUAGAUUGAGGUGUCAUUUCAACAAAACACAUAAUUUAUGGCACUCUUAGAAUUAGAUCAGGAUUUCUUUGACAAAUAGACUUGAGGUAUGCCAUAAACAAAAUUAGAUAACCCAUGACCCUUGGAUAAUUAAUUUUAACUCUUUAGAAAUCGAGGUGUGCC
RNAcentral lists this long non-coding RNA (2592 nucleotides) under Nicotiana benthamiana. RNAcentral's name for it is "long non-coding RNA (NBEN_LNC010658)". Lineage: Eukaryota; Viridiplantae; Streptophyta; Magnoliopsida; Solanales; Solanaceae. The record is from RNAcentral.